RNAcentral lists this ribosomal RNA (900 nucleotides) under uncultured Actinomycetes bacterium. Its description in RNAcentral is "bacterial SSU rRNA". It matches the Rfam family "Bacterial small subunit ribosomal RNA", at positions 1 to 921 of the family's 1533-position model. The record is from RNAcentral. Lineage: Bacteria; Bacillati; Actinomycetota; Actinomycetes.
UAGAGUUUGAUCCUGGCUCAGGAUGAACGCUGGCGGCGCGCCUAACACAUGCAAGUCGAACGGUUAAAGCACCUUCGGGUGUGUAUAAAGUGGCGAACGGCUGAGUAACACGUGGGCAACCUGCCCCUCGCACCGGGAUAGCCUCGGGAAACCGUGGUUAAUACCGGAUACUCCGCGACCCCCGCAUGGGGGACGCGGGAAAGCCCAGACGGCGAGGGAUGGGCCCGCGGCCUGUUAGCUUGUUGGCGGGGUAGUGGCCCACCAAGGCGAUUAUGGGUAGCCGGGUUGAGAGACCGACCGGCCAGAUUGGGACUGAGACACGGCCCAGACUCCUACGGGAGGCAGCAGUGGGGAAUCUUGCACAAUGGGCGAAAGCCUGAUGCAGCGACGCCGCGUGCGGGACGAAGGCCUUCGGGUUGUAAACCGCUUUCAGCAGGGACGAGGCCGCAAGGUGACGGUACCUGCAGAAGAAGCCCCGGCUAACUACGUGCCAGCAGCCGCGGUAAUACGUAGGGGGCAAGCGUUAUCCGGAUUCAUUGGGCGUAAAGCGCGCGUAGGCGGCCUGUUAGGUCGGGAGUUAAAUCCGGGGGCUCAACCCCCGCCCGCUCCCGAUACCGGCAGGCUUGAGUCUGGUAGGGGAAGGCGGAAUUCCAAGUGUAGCGGUGGAAUGCGCAGAUAUUUGGAAGAACACCGGUGGCGAAGGCGGCCUUCUGGGCCACGACUGACGCUGAGGCGCGAAAGCUAGGGGAGCGAACAGGAUUAGAUACCCUGGUAGUCCUAGCCGUAAACGAUGGACACUAGGUGUGGGGGGACGUGCCCUCCGUGCCGCAGCUAACGCAUUAAGUGUCCCGCCUGGGGAGUACGGCCGCAAGGCUAAACUCAAAGGAAUUGACGGGGGNC